Molecule: ribosomal RNA, 301 nt
Filed under: uncultured bacterium
Lineage: Bacteria
Description: partial 16S ribosomal RNA
Rfam family: Bacterial small subunit ribosomal RNA
Source: RNAcentral
CAGUCGCCGCGGGAAUACGGAGGGUGCAAGCGUUAAUCGGAAUUACUGGGCGUAAAGCGCACGCAGGCGGUCUGACAAGUCAGAUGUGAAAUCCCCGGGCUUAACCUGGGAACUGCAUUUGAAACUGUCAGACUGGAGUCUUGUAGAGGGGGGUGGAAUUCCAGGUGUAGCGGUGAAAUGCGUAGAGAUCUGGAGGAAUACCGGUGGCGAAGGCGGCCCCCUGGACAAAGACUGACGCUCAGGUGCGAAAGCGUGGGGAGCAAACAGGAUUAGAUACCCGAGUAGUCCCUGUCUCUUAUAC